ACAUCCAGAGAACUUAGCAGAGAUGCUUUGGUGCCUUCGGGAACUCUGAGACAGGUGCUGCAUGGCUGUCGUCAGCUCGUGUUGUGAAAUGUUGGGUUAAGUCCCGCAACGAGCGCAACCCUUAUCCUUUGUUGCCGGCGGUCCGGCCGGGAACUCAAAGGAGACUGCCAGUGAUAAACUGGAGGAAGGUGGGGAUGACGUCAAGUCAUCAUGGCCCUUACGAGUAGGGCUACACACGUGCUACAAUGGCGCAUACAAAGAGAAGCGACCUCGCGAGAGCAAGCGGACCUCAUAAAGUGCGUCGUAGUCCGGAUUGGAGUCUGCAACUCGACUCCAUGAAGUCGGAAUCGCUAGUAAUCGUAGAUCAGAAUGCUACGGUGAAUACGUUCCCGGGCCUUGUACACACCGCCCGUCACACCAUGGGAGUGGGUUGCAAAAGAAGUAGGUAGCUUAACCUUCGGGAGGGCGCUUACCACUUUGUGAUUCAUGACUGGGGUGAAGUCGUAACAAGGUAGGCGUACGUGU
RNAcentral lists this ribosomal RNA (525 nucleotides) under uncultured bacterium. RNAcentral's name for it is "bacterial SSU rRNA". It matches the Rfam family "Bacterial small subunit ribosomal RNA", at positions 984 to 1509 of the family's 1533-position model. The record is from RNAcentral.